Molecule: ribosomal RNA, 406 nt
Filed under: uncultured bacterium
Lineage: Bacteria
Description: partial 16S ribosomal RNA
Rfam family: Bacterial small subunit ribosomal RNA
Source: RNAcentral
AUUGAACGCUGGCGGCAGGCCUAACAAAUGCAAGUCGAACGAGUGGCGGACGGGUGAGUAAUGUCUGGGAAACUGCCCGAUGGAGGGGGAUAACUACUGGAAACGGUAGCUAAUACCGCAUACCAUCGGAUGUGCCCAGAUGGGAUUAGCUAGUAGUUGGGGUAACGGCUCACCUAGGCGACGAUCCCUAGCUGGUCUGAGAGGAUGACCAGCCACACUGGAACUGAGACACGGUCACGACUCCUACGGGAGGCAGCAUUGGGGAAUAUUGCACAAUGGGCGCAAGCCUGAUGCAGCCAUGCCGCGUGUAUGAAGAAGGCCUUCGGGUUGUAAAGUACUUUCAGCGGGGAGGCGUUACCCGCAGAAGAAGCACCGGCUAACUCCGUGCCAGCAGCCGCGGUAAUUC